This is an RNA transcript of Numida meleagris (helmeted guineafowl), 1475 nucleotides long. It is a transcript of the gene named sirtuin 5, with no coding region annotated. The record is from RefSeq and is a predicted model, not a curated record. The transcript has 8 exons. Lineage: Eukaryota; Metazoa; Chordata; Aves; Galliformes; Numididae.
ACGCGGCGGGGCCGGGCCCAGCUGGCGAGAGGGCGCCGCGGGAGCCCCGGGAGGGGCCGGGAGCCGCCUGCCGCGUCCGCGGGUGCCUUCCCGUCGCGGUCCUUUCUGUCGGCUGGAGCCCGGCCCGCGGGCAGCGCUGCAGGGGCUCGGGGCCGCUCCGCGCGUUUGCUUCAGCCCGAGUGGCAGGGCCAACACACUGAAGUGGUGCUGAUGAGUCUCGCCCGGAGGCUGCUCGCCCAGGUGCACGGUGCUCUGAAGCCUGCUUCAAAGAAACUGAACUUCUGCUGGGAAAUGGCUCGGCCGAGUUCGAGCAUGGCUGAUUUCCGAGAAGUGUUCGCCAAAGCAAAGCAUAUCACCAUCAUUACCGGAGCCGGUGUGAGCGCCGAGAGUGGUGUUCCUACCUUCAGAGGGGCCGGAGGUUUCUGGAGGAAGUGGCAAGCACAGGAGUUGGCCACUCCCGGGGCUUUUGCACGCAACCCUUCUCGCGUCUGGGAGUUCUAUCAUUACCGCCGCGAGCUCAUGCUGACUAAACAUCCCAACGCUGCACAUCUCGCCAUUGCCGAGUGUGAAAAGCGACUGAGGAAACAAGGCAGGAGCGUGGUGGUCAUCACCCAGAAUAUCGAUGAACUGCACAGGAAGGCGGGCACAAAGCACCUCCUGGAAAUACACGGAAGCUUAUUUAAAACUCGAUGCACCAACUGUGGAAAUGUGACUGCAAAUUACAAGAGUCCGAUAUGCCCAGCGUUGGCUGGGAAAGGGGCUCCAGAUCCAGAAAUAGAAGAUGCCUCAAUUCCAGUUGAAGAACUUCCUCAGUGCGAGGAAGAUGGCUGCCACGGCCUUCUUCGUCCCCACGUCGUGUGGUUCGGCGAAACCCUGGAUCCAGACGUUCUCACAGAAGUGGAGAAGGAACUCGAACUAUGCGACCUCUGCUUGGUGGUGAGGACGUUUGUGUUGCCUUGUGACACGGCGGUCAGCAGCGUCAGGGGCUGCUUCUGUGGGGUUAUUUCCAGGCCGUGCACGUUCUGCAUGUACGUUCUACAAUUGCUCGGAAUAUUUUGCACCCUUCACAAAAAGUUCUCAAGCAGUAGAGGGGAUGUUUUGUCUUGUUUUCCUGACAUUUUGUGGUUUAUAACUGUCAAUGAAAAAAAAAACCAAACCCCAGAAACGCAAACAAACAGGUUGCUUUGGAUUGCAGCAGAGAUAUGAAUUCUGAGGUGUGUGCCACCAGAAACAGCUCGAUCCACAGCGACGCAAAACAUAGAUCUCGAUACGUCCUCCCUUCUGUCAGGUCUUCCCCUGCUUUACCGUUUGCCGAUGCCUUUGCAGGUGGGCACCUCCUCCGUGGUGUACCCCGCCGCCAUGUUUGCCCCCCAGGUGUCCGCACGAGGAGUGCCGGUGGCGGAAUUCAACAUGGAAGCCACUCCCGCUACGGACAGGUUCAGGUUCCACUUCCAGGGCCCCUGCGGGACGACGCU